Molecule: ribosomal RNA, 481 nt
Filed under: uncultured bacterium
Lineage: Bacteria
Description: bacterial SSU rRNA
Rfam family: Bacterial small subunit ribosomal RNA
Source: RNAcentral
UUGAGUGGGGGAUAACCUCGGGAAACCGAGGCUAAUACCGCAUAAUAUCGCAAGAUCAAAGGAGCAAUCCGCUUUUGGAGGGGGUCGCGGCUGAUUAGCUAGUUGGUGAGGUAAUGGCUCACCAAGGCGAAGAUCGGUAUCCGGCCUGAGAGGGCGCACGGACACACUGGAACUGAAACACGGUCCAGACUCCUACGGGAGGCAGCAGUGGGGAAUUUUGCGCAAUGGGGGAAACCCUGACGCAGCAACGCCGCGUGGAGGAUGAAGCCCCUUGGGGCGUAAACUCCUUUCGACCGGGAAAAUAAUGAUGGUACCGGUGGAAGAAGCACCGGCUAACUCUGUGCCAGCAGCCGCGGUAAUACAGAGGGUGCGAGCGUUGUUCGGAAUUAUUGGGCGUAAAGGGCGCGUAGGCGGUGCGGUAAGUCACCUGUGAAACCUCUGGGCUUAACUCAGAGCCUGCAGGCGAAACUGCCGUGCUGGA